CUGAACUGGAGUUGGCUUAAAGGGAGGCCCCAAGCAAGGAAGGAAGGAGGCAGGCAGGCAGGCAGGCAGAGUGGCCCCCACAGCUCUCUGCAGCAGACCCCUCUGCCCAGCCCAGCAUUUGCCAGAUACGAUGCUGAUGUGUGGAGAGACCCCACGGAUAAAGUGGAUCAAGAUGAGAUGGAGGGGUGGCUUUGCCGAGUCUUUGCUGACAUGAUAGCACUCUGGGCAGACUUGUUUCCUGUGCCCUGGAAUCAACUUCCAUUCAUUCAUUUCUAUUUUUUCUUUAAUUUUAAAAAUUCUUCCUUCCUGAAAAGCUCAACUCAUUUUUUAAAAAUUAAAAUUAAUUUGUCAUGGA
Hemicordylus capensis (graceful crag lizard) is the source of this 355-nucleotide long non-coding RNA. RefSeq lists it as uncharacterized. Lineage: Eukaryota; Metazoa; Chordata; Lepidosauria; Squamata; Cordylidae. The transcript is spliced from 2 exons. The record is from RefSeq and is a predicted model, not a curated record.